GGCGAACGCUGGCGGCGUGCUUAACACAUGCAAGUCGAACGGAAAGGCCCUGCUUUUGUGGGGUGCUCGAGUGGCGAAUGGGUGAGUAACACGUGAGUAACCUGCCCUUGACUUUGGGAUAACUUCAGGAAACUGGGGCUAAUACCGGAUAGGAGCUCCUGCUGCAUGGUGGGGGUUGGAAAGUUUCGGCGGUUGGGGAUGGACUCGCGGCUUAUCAGCUUGUUGGUGGGGUAGUGGCUUACCAAGGCUUUGACGGGUAGCCGGCCUGAGAGGGUGACCGGCCACAUUGGGACUGAGAUACGGCCCAGACUCCUACGGGAGGCAGCAGUGGGGAAUAUUGCACAAUGGGCGGAAGCCUGAUGCAGCAACGCCGCGUGCGGGAUGACGGCCUUCGGGUUGUAAACCGCUUUCGCCUGUGACGAAGCGUGAGUGACGGUAAUGGGUAAAGAAGCACCGGCUAACUACGUG
Molecule: ribosomal RNA, 468 nt
Filed under: uncultured bacterium
Lineage: Bacteria
Description: partial 16S ribosomal RNA
Rfam family: Bacterial small subunit ribosomal RNA
Source: RNAcentral